AUUGAACGCUGGCGGCAUGCCUUACACAUGCAAGUCGAACGGCAGCAUAGGAGCUUGCUCCUGAUGGCGAGUGGCGAACGGGUGAGUAAUAUAUCGGAACGUGCCCUAGAGUGGGGGAUAACUAGUCGAAAGACUAGCUAAUACCGCAUACGAUCUACGGAUGAAAGUGGGGGAUCGCAAGACCUCAUGCUCCUGGAGCGGCCGAUAUCUGAUUAGCUAGUUGGUGGGGUAAAAGCCUACCAAGGCAACGAUCAGUAGCUGGUCUGAGAGGACGACCAGCCACACUGGGACUGAGACACGGCCCAGACUCCUACGGGAGGCAGCAGUGGGGAAUUUUGGACAAUGGGGGCAACCCUGAUCCAGCAAUGCCGCGUGAGUGAAGAAGGCCUUCGGGUUGUAAAGCUCUUUUGUCAGGGAAGAAAACGGUAGUAAGCGAAUAAAUAAUA
RNAcentral lists this ribosomal RNA (446 nucleotides) under Herbaspirillum sp. oral taxon A32. RNAcentral's name for it is "bacterial SSU rRNA". It matches the Rfam family "Bacterial small subunit ribosomal RNA", at positions 30 to 474 of the family's 1533-position model. Lineage: Bacteria; Pseudomonadati; Pseudomonadota; Betaproteobacteria; Burkholderiales; Oxalobacteraceae. The record is from RNAcentral.